CCUACGGGUGGCAGCAGUGAGGAAUAUUGGUCAAUGGACGCAAGUCUGAACCAGCCAUGCCGCGUGCAGGAAGACGGCUCUAUGAGUUGUAAACUGCUUUUGUACGAGGGUAAACUCAGAUACGCGUACCUGUCUGCAUGUAUCCUACGAAUAAGCAUCGGCUAACUCCGUGCCAGCAGCCGCGGUAAUACGGAGGAUUCAAGCGUUAUCCGGAUUUAUUGGGUUUAAAGGGUGCGUAGGCGGGCGGGUAAGUUAGAGGUGAAAUCCCGAGGCUCAACUUCGGAAUUGCCUCUGAUACUGUUCGGCUAGAGCGUAGUUGCGGUAGGCGGAAUGUAUGGUGUAGCGGUGAAAUGCUUAGAGAUCAUGCAGAACACCGAUUGCGAAGGCAGCUUACCAGGCUACUUCUGACGUUGAGGCACGAAAGCGUGGGGAGCAAACAGGAUUAGAUACCCCAGUAGUC
This 460-nucleotide ribosomal RNA is filed under the name uncultured bacterium. RNAcentral's name for it is "partial 16S ribosomal RNA". It matches the Rfam family "Bacterial small subunit ribosomal RNA", at positions 338 to 795 of the family's 1533-position model. The record is from RNAcentral.